Molecule: transfer RNA, 74 nt
Filed under: Planctomycetota bacterium
Lineage: Bacteria; Pseudomonadati; Planctomycetota
Also listed under: 1 other name
Description: tRNA-Glu
Rfam family: tRNA
About the family: Transfer RNA (tRNA) molecules are approximately 80 nucleotides in length. Their secondary structure includes four short double-helical elements and three loops (D, anti-codon, and T loops). Further hydrogen bonds mediate the characteristic L-shaped molecular structure. tRNAs have two regions of fundamental functional importance: the anti-codon, which is responsible for specific mRNA codon recognition, and the 3' end, to which the tRNAs corresponding amino acid is attached (by aminoacyl-tRNA synthetases). tRNAs cope with the degeneracy of the genetic code in two manners: having more than one tRNA (with a specific anti-codon) for a particular amino acid; and 'wobble' base-pairing, i.e. permitting non-standard base-pairing at the 3rd anti-codon position.
Source: RNAcentral
GGCCUCAUCGUCUAGCCCGGCUAGGACACAUCCCUCUCACGGAUGGAACAGGGGUUCAAAUCCCCUUGGGGUCA